This 253-nucleotide ribosomal RNA is filed under the name uncultured bacterium. RNAcentral's name for it is "partial 16S ribosomal RNA". It matches the Rfam family "Bacterial small subunit ribosomal RNA", at positions 524 to 776 of the family's 1533-position model. The record is from RNAcentral.
UACGUAGGGUGCAAGCGUUAAUCGGAAUUACUGGGCGUAAAGCGUGCGCAGGCGGUGAUGUAAGACAGUUGUGAAAUCCCCGGGCUCAACCUGGGAACCGCAUUUGUGACUGCAUAGCUGGAGUACGGCAGAGGGGGAUGGAAUUCCGCGUGUAGCAGUGAAAUGCGUAGAUAUGCGGAGGAACACCGAUGGCGAAGGCAGUCCCCUGGGCCUGUACUGACGCUCAUGCACGAAAGCGUGGGGAGCAAACAGG